Bufo gargarizans (Asiatic toad) is the source of this 1738-nucleotide long non-coding RNA. RefSeq lists it as uncharacterized. The transcript is spliced from 4 exons. Lineage: Eukaryota; Metazoa; Chordata; Amphibia; Anura; Bufonidae. The record is from RefSeq and is a predicted model, not a curated record.
CUGGGACCUGUUACUUGUAGAAGUCAGCAGAGCAGGACAGAAACUUGGAGAGAAUGUGGUGGAAGCUUUCAACAUUCUCAAAGCAGGUGAAGAAACACCCUGGAUUGGUGCCUUUGCUUGGUUUCACAAUGUUGGGCAUCACUAAUGGAACCAUCUACCUGAUGAAGUCUGCCCUUUCCAACCCAAAAUUAAGUUGGGUAAAGAAAGAAGAACCGGAGCCUUGGUAUAAAUGAGGUCCAGACCUCUAGAGGAGAGGUGAAGACCUACAGAUGCUCUUAUAAUGAAAACAGGAUCUUUAACAUUUCUCCUGAAGAAGAUGCUGAGCCACUGAUUGACCACUGCGAAAAAUUGUAUUAUUCCUUUUCCUUCUACAUGAAAUCACAGCUAUCUCUUUUUACUCUGGGGGAAUGAACAUCUUGUUUGACCAGUCCAACAAUAAUAUCUUUAAAGUAACACUAAACCUCUAUAAACACUUACAAAAAAUAUUUAAAUACAUGUAUAAAAACCUCCCACUUAGAUGUGCCUCCAAGUCUAUCAGCUGCACAAGCAAGCAGUUUUGCUGAAAUCUUGGAGCACAGAGGAACCCUGUUCUCCCUGUCUCCUCCAUCUUCAGCAGGAGACUGGAAGUUCAGGGGAGAUGGACGGAGCUUAGCCCCCAUUGAGUAUAAUUGAGUCCAUAGUCUGUAUAGUGCUGAUGAAUCUGGGACCAGAGAAACUCCAAGGUAACAAUUACAACAUAGAUAGUAAGGCAAAUAAAAAUAUAUAAUGGGUUCACCCAAGUAAAAAUAAUAGCCCCACCUGUGCAUAUUCCGCUUUAUACACCCAAUUAAAUAAAACUGAAUAUCUAAAAAUAUUUAAAAAGACCAAGGCUGUACAGUGGUAAGGUAAAAGCAAUUUAAUCCAUAUAAAAUUAAAAAGUAUAAAAAUACAAAACAGUAACAAGAAUAAAAAUAUAAAAUCAAUUCAAUCUUAGUCCCAAAUGAAACAUGUAGCGGGUCCCUCGCUAUAGUAACUGAUAUUGUGUGGAUGAAUUAACUGUCCAUACAAAUGUCCACAAUACCAGGCUGGUAUCAAUGCUAGUAUUGGAUCCUUGGAUCAAUGUUGUGAUGAGAUAUAUUUAAUAUUCAGCCAAACCCAAGUUUGUAGAACUCGUGGCAAUUAACAUGAACAUUAAUGAGAAGUUAAAGAGUUAGGUGAGGAUUGUAUGUUUGUUGUUUGCAUUUACCUUCAGUAAAAUUGCUACUCUUAUUAUUACCCUAACUUUGUGUAAACUACACAGCUUUUACUGAGACCCGAAUAGGCAAAUACGACUAGCUACGGCACAAUUUGGCAGCUAGAAGGGGUAUUUAUUUAGGUACAUUUAGUAUUACCGCUCCACAUGCUAUGUUACCCAGAUUUCCGCUAGAUGGCAGGCAAUUGAUUGAAAUGACCAUCCUGCUUCUCCCACUCCAAUAAAAUACCUCCUCUUAAAGUCUGUCAACUGGACAAAAUGUCUUUGUGUGCGUCAUAUUGGCAUGUCUAGCAGUCAAUGAUGUCUCACCAAGAGGUCCACUACCCAAAAGUAGUUUUUAUUACUCAUUACUUUUUGUUACUCAUUAUCCACUACUGACUAAUUCUCUAUACCAGUGAUGGCAAACCUUUUAGAGACCGAGUGCCCAAACUGCACCCCAAAACCCACAUAUUUAUCACAAAGUGCCAACAUGGGAAUUUCCCCUGAAUACUACAGUCCAGUAUAGUA